RNAcentral lists this ribosomal RNA (253 nucleotides) under uncultured prokaryote. RNAcentral describes it as "partial 16S ribosomal RNA". It matches the Rfam family "Bacterial small subunit ribosomal RNA", at positions 525 to 777 of the family's 1533-position model. The record is from RNAcentral.
ACAGAGGGGGCAAGCGUUAUUCGGAAUUAUUGGGCGUAAAGGGCGCGUAGGCGGCUAUUCAAGUGGCGGGUGAAAUCCCUCGGCUUAACCGAGGAACUGCCUGCCAGACUGGAUGGCUUGAGACCGGGAGAGGUGAGUGGAAUUCCCAGUGUAGCGGUGAAAUGCGUAGAUAUUGGGAGGAACACCAGUGGCGAAGGCGGCUCACUGGACCAUUACUGACACUGAGGCGCGAAAGCUAGGGGAGCAAACGGGA